This 497-nucleotide ribosomal RNA is filed under the name uncultured bacterium. RNAcentral's name for it is "partial 16S ribosomal RNA". It matches the Rfam family "Bacterial small subunit ribosomal RNA", at positions 28 to 507 of the family's 1533-position model. The record is from RNAcentral.
GAUGAACGCUGGCGGCGUGCCUAAUACAUGCAAGUCGAGCGAACGGACGAGAAUCUUGCUUUUCUGAUGUUAGCGGCUGACGUGUGAGUAACACGUGGAUAACCUACCUAUAAGACUGGGAUAACUUCGGGAAACCGGAGCUAACACCGGAUAAUAUUUUGAACCGCAUGGUUCAAAAGUGAAAGACGGUCUUGCUGUCACUUAUAGAUGGAUCCGCGCUGCAUUAGCUAGUUGGUAAGGUAACGGCUUACCAAGGCAACGAUGCAUAUCCGACCUGAGAGGGUGAUCGGCCACACUGGAACUGAGACACGGUACAGGCUACUACGGGAGGCAGCAGUAGGGAAUCUUCCGCAAUGGGCGAAAGCCUGACGGAGCAAAGCCGCGUGAGUGAUGAAGGUCUUCGGAUCGUAAAACUCUGUUAUUAGGGAAGAACAUAUGUGUAAGUAACUGUGCACAUCUUGACGGUACCUAAUCAGAAAGCCACGGCUAACUACGUG